UGGCGAACGGGUGAGUAACACGUGGGUAACCUGCCCAUCAGAAGGGGAUAACACUUGGAAACAGGUGCUAAUACCGUAUAACACUAUUUUCCGCAUGGAAGAAAGUUGAAAGGCGCUUUUGCGUCACUGAUGGAUGGACCCGCGGUGCAUUAGCUAGUUGGUGAGGUAACGGCUCACCAAGGCAACGAUGCAUAGCCGACCUGAGAGGGUGAUCGGCCACACUGGGACUGAGACACGGCCCAGACUCCUACGGGAGGCAGCAGUAGGGAAUCUUCGGCAAUGGACGAAAGUCUGACCGAGCAACGCCGCGUGAGUGAAGAAGGUUUUCGGAUCGUAAAAACUCUGUUGUU
RNAcentral lists this ribosomal RNA (350 nucleotides) under Enterococcus casseliflavus. RNAcentral's name for it is "bacterial SSU rRNA". It matches the Rfam family "Bacterial small subunit ribosomal RNA", at positions 96 to 440 of the family's 1533-position model. The record is from RNAcentral. Lineage: Bacteria; Bacillati; Bacillota; Bacilli; Lactobacillales; Enterococcaceae.